RNAcentral lists this long non-coding RNA (715 nucleotides) under Marmota monax (woodchuck). The record is from RNAcentral. Lineage: Eukaryota; Metazoa; Chordata; Mammalia; Rodentia; Sciuridae.
UGGCCACCCAAGCACCUUGUGCUGAGGCCAGGAAGUAGCUGGGACAGGACCCGUGUGUGUGCUGUUGCUGUGGCCUCCGCGUCCACUCACAGGACCACUGGACACCUCCAGUUUGGACCAGGACUCAGCAGGUGACUACAGGGAGCCCGAGUCCUGGCACCUGUACUGCUGUCCUCAGCCAGAACAAGGUCCCCAACGCUGAACAAGCUUUUGGGGCCAUGGGAAUGAAGUCUUCUACACCGAGCUGUGAGGCUUCCCUAGGACAGGUGCGUGCACCCCACAGCGCCCACCUGCACACCCCACAGCGCCCAGCCUGCAUGACCACCCAGGAAGUGAAGCCAAAAGUCAUUCCCAGUUUGCAGUGAGGAAGCGCCUUACACCAAGGCUCAGAGAGGGUGAGGAGCCUGCCCAGAGUCGCUCAGGAAGUGGGAGACCCUGACGACUCCACCCUGCUGGCCCUGACUCCCAGUUUGUGCGUAGGGGAUCAAUCAGAGUGGUGCUGGAUUGUCACCUGUGACCAGUCCACAGAAGGAGUGGGCAGAGAGGAUGCUCCUAGCGGCUCCCUCAGCCAUGCAGAAGGGAGGAGACUGGGAUCCCCAGACAGGAGGGAAAUAAGCACACGGCCAGGCAAGGGCCCCGAAGGACAGAGGCCCCGCGCUCAGCCUAGGCAGGGCGCACUGCCCUGGAGGGCAGCGAGCAAGCACCUGGUCCUCAG